This 301-nucleotide ribosomal RNA is filed under the name uncultured bacterium. RNAcentral describes it as "partial 16S ribosomal RNA". It matches the Rfam family "Bacterial small subunit ribosomal RNA", at positions 509 to 807 of the family's 1533-position model. The record is from RNAcentral.
CAGCCGCCGCGGUAAUACGGAGGGUGCGAGCGUUAAUCGGAAUAACUGGGCGUAAAGGGCACGCAGGCGGUGACUUAAGUGAGGUGUGAAAGCCCCGGGCUUAACCUGGGAAUUGCAUUUCAUACUGGGUCGCUAGAGUACUUUAGGGAGGGGUAGAAUUCCACGUGUAGCGGUGAAAUGCGUAGAGAUGUGGAGGAAUACCGAAGGCGAAGGCAGCCCCUUGGGAAUGUACUGACGCUCAUGUGCGAAAGCGUAGGGAGCAAACAGGAUUAGAUACCCCUGUAGUCCCUGUCUCUUAUAC